This 206-nucleotide long non-coding RNA is filed under the name Elaeis guineensis (African oil palm). RNAcentral describes it as "long non-coding RNA (EGUI_LNC071111)". Lineage: Eukaryota; Viridiplantae; Streptophyta; Magnoliopsida; Arecales; Arecaceae. The record is from RNAcentral.
AACAGCGCCAACCAGACUUCAACAAUACCAACUGAACUUCCACAGGAUCCUCCAGACUCCUCCAGCGGACAAACUUCCAUAACGCCUUCCGGACCCUUCUAUCAGCCGACCUUCAGUCAGAUUCCUUGUGCAACUGGACCUCUCCAGUGGACAAGUCUUCAGACAAGCUUCUACAUCAUAAAAAUUUCAGACGGACAUCUCCAGCA